Molecule: long non-coding RNA, 351 nt
Filed under: Homo sapiens (human)
Lineage: Eukaryota; Metazoa; Chordata; Mammalia; Primates; Hominidae
Description: non-protein coding lnc-TRMT10B-2:2
Source: RNAcentral
GUAAGGCUGUAUUGGACAGUUAUGAAUAUUUUGCUGUGCUUGAUGCUAAAGAACUUGGUAUCUCUAUUAAAGUACACGAACCUCCAAGGAAAAUAGAGCGAUUUACUCUUCUCAUAUCAGUGCAUAUUUAUAAGAAGCACGGAGUUCAGUAUGAAAUGAGAACACUUUACAGAUGUUUAGAGUUAGAACAUCUAACUGGAAGCACAGCAGAUGUCUACGUGGAAUAUAUUCAGCGAAACUUACCUGAAAGGGUUGCCAUGGAAGUAACAAAGACACAAUUAGAACAGUUACCAGAACACAUCAAGGAGCCAAUCUGGGAAACACUAUCAGAAGAAAAAGAAGAAAGCAAGU